UACGGAGGAUGCAAGCGUUAUCCGGAUUUAUUGGGUUUAAAGGGUGCGCAGGUUGUUUGAUAAGUCAGUGGUGAAAGUCUGUCGCUUAACGGUAGGAUUGCCAUUGAUACUGUUGGACUUGAAUAUGGAUGAGGUAGGCGGAAUGUGUAGUGUAGCGGUGAAAUGCAUAGAUAUUACACAUAACACCGAUUGCGAAGGCAGCUUACUAGUCCAUCAUUGACGCUGAGGCACGAAAGCGUGGGGAUCAAACA
This 251-nucleotide ribosomal RNA is filed under the name uncultured prokaryote. Its description in RNAcentral is "partial 16S ribosomal RNA". It matches the Rfam family "Bacterial small subunit ribosomal RNA", at positions 524 to 774 of the family's 1533-position model. The record is from RNAcentral.